UACGAAGGGUGCAAGCGUUGUUCGGAAUUAUUGGGCGUAAAGCGCACGUAGGCGGUUGGGUAAGUCUGUCUGUGAAAGCCCGGGGCUCAACCCCGGGACUGCAGGGGAUACUGCUCGACUGGAGACAAGCAGAGGUUGGUAGAAUUCCGGGUGUAGCGGUGGAAUGCGUAGAGAUCCGGAGGAAUACCAGAGGCGAAGGCGGCCAACUGGGCUUGUUCUGACGCUGAGGUGCGAAAGCGUGGGGAGCGAACAGG
Molecule: ribosomal RNA, 254 nt
Filed under: uncultured bacterium
Lineage: Bacteria
Description: partial 16S ribosomal RNA
Rfam family: Bacterial small subunit ribosomal RNA
Source: RNAcentral